Non-coding RNA from Caenorhabditis elegans, 146 nucleotides. The record is from Ensembl. NCBI's taxonomy places the organism in Eukaryota, Metazoa, Nematoda, Chromadorea, Rhabditida, Rhabditidae.
GUGGUUGCGUUCCGCCAGCUAGCUGGUCAUCGCUUCGCGGAGAGGAAAGACGGUCGAGGUUCAGAUACAGCAAAUAGUAUGUAACAGGCGGUGGUUUGAACGGCUGCCUGCCAAAUUGAGAAGGCAUACUGAACCGCGCGCGCCGC